This 249-nucleotide long non-coding RNA is filed under the name Gallus gallus (chicken). Lineage: Eukaryota; Metazoa; Chordata; Aves; Galliformes; Phasianidae. The record is from RNAcentral.
GCAAGCACAGUUAUUAUUCCUGAUUUGAAGGUGAUAAAUUUGUUGUUUAAAAAAAAAAAAAAAAAGAAAAAGAAAAGAAUGCAGUAGCUGAGCAAUUCAAAAAGCCACUUCUUUGGAAAUCUGACCUGCUGUGAUACCUGUGCUGCCCUUUCCACUCAGCUAUUCCUGAAUCCGAGCUGUUUAUGGUACGGCUGUAGCCUGAAGGAAUUUUUCAUUCCCUUCCUUGAUGCAAAAAGACCCCGAGUUGGC